AUUGAACGCCGGCGGCAGGCCUAACACAUGCAAGUCGAACGGUAACAGGAAGAAGCUUGCUUCUUUGCUGACGAGUGGCGGACGGGUGAGUAAUGUCUGGGAAACUGCCUGAUGGAGGGGGAUAACUACUGGAAACGGUAGCUAAUACCGCAUAACGUCGCAAGACCAAAGAGGGGGACCUUCGGGCCUCUUGCCAUCGGAUGUGCCCAGAUGGGAUUAGCUAGUAGGUGGGGUAACGGCUCACCUAGGCGACGAUCCCUAGCUGGUCUGAGAGGAUGACCAGCCACACUGGAACUGAGACACGGUCCAGACUCCUACGGGAGGCAGCAGUGGGGAAUAUUGCACAAUGGGCGCAAGCCUGAUGCAGCCAUGCCGCGUGUAUGAAGAAGGCCUUCGGGUUGUAAAGUACUUUCAGCGGGGAGGAAGGGAGUAAAGUUAAUACCUUUGCUCAUUGACGUUACCCGCAGAAGAAGCACCGGCUAACUCCGUG
Molecule: ribosomal RNA, 490 nt
Filed under: uncultured bacterium
Lineage: Bacteria
Description: partial 16S ribosomal RNA
Rfam family: Bacterial small subunit ribosomal RNA
Source: RNAcentral